RNAcentral lists this unclassified non-coding RNA (253 nucleotides) under Clavariaceae sp. Its description in RNAcentral is "partial contains small subunit ribosomal RNA, internal transcribed spacer 1, and 5.8S ribosomal RNA". The stretch from base 1 to 46 matches the Rfam family "Eukaryotic small subunit ribosomal RNA", at positions 1786 to 1831 of the family's 1831-position model. Lineage: Eukaryota; Fungi; Basidiomycota; Agaricomycetes; Agaricales; Clavariaceae. The record is from RNAcentral.
AAGUCGUAACAAGGUUUCCGUAGGUGAACCUGCGGAAGGAUCAUUAUUGAAAUCCUUAGGAUGUUGCUGGCCUUUCAGGGCAUGUGCACUCCGCCUUUUCAAUUCACCUGUGAACUCAUUGUAGGCCGGACUUGUCAAAGUCUGUGUCUAUGUUUUUAUACACCCCUUUAAACAAGUUUAACAGAAUGUCAUUAUUAGACCUUAUGGUCGAAAUAAAUCAAUACAACUUUCAACAAUGGAUCUCUUGGUUCUC